UCGGCAUUCUUCCAGUUGUGAAAGUUUUCCUUGUACCAUUCAAUUGUUUUCUUUAUUCCUUCUUUCCAAGGCACUUUAGGUCUCCAUCCUAAAUUGUGCAUUUUUUCUGAACUCAUUGGGUAUCUCAGGUCAUUGGUAGGUCUGUCUUUGACAUAGUCCAUCCAGUGCUCCAUUUCAGAUUCUGAACUGGUCUUCUUUAUUAAGUGGAUUAACUCCUUCGCAAGCUGGACGAUGGACAUCUCAAAAUUAGUUCCAAUGUUAUAAAUUUCACCUGGCUUCCCC
This 282-nucleotide long non-coding RNA is filed under the name Gallus gallus (chicken). Lineage: Eukaryota; Metazoa; Chordata; Aves; Galliformes; Phasianidae. The record is from RNAcentral.